This 465-nucleotide ribosomal RNA is filed under the name uncultured bacterium. RNAcentral describes it as "partial 16S ribosomal RNA". It matches the Rfam family "Bacterial small subunit ribosomal RNA", at positions 338 to 795 of the family's 1533-position model. The record is from RNAcentral.
CCUACGGGUGGCAGCAGUGGGGAAUAUUGCGCAAUGGGCGCAAGCCUGACGCAGCGACGCCGCGUGAGGGAUGAAGGUCUUCGGAUCGUAAACCUCUGUCAGCAGGGAAGAACGGUCACUGUGCUAAUCAGCAGUGAAUUGACGGUACCUGCGAGGGAAGCACCGGCUAACUCCGUGCCCGCAGCCGCGGUAAUACGGAGGGUGCGAGCGGUGAUCGGAAUUACGGGGCGGAAAGCUGUGGUAGGCGGUUUGUCAAGUCAAGGGGGAAAUCCCCGCGCUCAACGUGGGAACUGCCUUUGAAACUGGCAAACUGGAGUGUGUGAGAGGAUAGUGGAAUUCCAGGUGUAGGAGUGAAAUCCGUAGAUAUUUGGAGGAACAUCAGUGGCGAAGGCGACUAUCUGGCACAUAACUGACGCUGAGGAGCGAAAGCGUGGGUAGCAAACAGGAUUAGAUACCCCAGUAGUC